RNAcentral lists this ribosomal RNA (767 nucleotides) under uncultured bacterium. Its description in RNAcentral is "bacterial SSU rRNA". It matches the Rfam family "Bacterial small subunit ribosomal RNA", at positions 8 to 796 of the family's 1533-position model. The record is from RNAcentral.
AGAGUUUGAUCCUGGCUCAGAAUGAACGUUGGCGGCGUGGAUUAGGCAUGCAAGUCGAACGCCCCGCAAGGGGAGUGGCGCAAGGGUGAGUAAGGCGAUGGUAACCAACCUCGCGGACGGGCAUAGCCGGGGGAAACCCCGGGUAAUUCCCGGCGACGCAGUGAGCCGGCAUCGGCUUAUUGCCAAAGGCUUCGGCCGCCGCGAGACGGGCCGUCGUGGUAUUAGGUCGUUGGUGGGGUGACGGCCCACCAAGCCUUCGAUGCCUACCGGGUGUGAGAGCAUGGCCCGGCACACUGGGACUGAGACACUGCCCAGACUCCUACGGGAGGCUGCAGUCGAGAAUCUUCGGCAAUGGGCGCAAGCCUGACCGAGCGACGCCGCGUGGAGGACGAAGGCCUUCGGGUUGUAAACUCCUGUCGAGGGGGAGGAAGGUGCAAGCUUGACCGAUCCCUGGAGGAAGCACGGGCUAAGUUCGUGCCAGCAGCCGCGGUAAGACGAACCGUGCGAACGUUAUUCGGAAUUACUGGGCUUAAAGCGCGUGUAGGCGGGCCGGCACGUCCGACGCUGAAAUCCCCCGGCUCAACCGGGGAAGUGGCGGGGAUACGACCGGCCUCGAGGGGGGUAGGGGGACCUGGAACUUCCGGUGGAGCGGUGAAAUGCGUUGAGAUCGGAAGGAACGCCCGUGGCGAAAGCGAGGUCCUGGACCCUUUCUGACGCUGAGACGCGAAAGCCAGGGGAGCGAACGGGAUUAGAUACCCCAGUAGUCC